This 414-nucleotide ribosomal RNA is filed under the name uncultured bacterium. RNAcentral describes it as "bacterial SSU rRNA". It matches the Rfam family "Bacterial small subunit ribosomal RNA", at positions 28 to 426 of the family's 1533-position model. The record is from RNAcentral.
GACGAACGCUGGCGGCGUGCUUAACACAUGCAAGUCGAACGGAAAGGCCCUGCUUGCAGGGUGCUCGAGUGGCGAACGGGUGAGUAACACGUGGGUGAUCUGCCCUGCACUUCGGGAUAAGCUUGGGAAACUGGGUCUAAUACCGGAUAGGACUACGGCCUGCAUGGGUUGUGGUGGAAAGUGCGGUGUGUAAAAGCACUGUGCGGUGUGGGAUGGGCCCGCGGCCUANCAGCUUGUUGGUGGGGUGAUGGCCUACCAAGGCGACGACGGGUAGCCGGCCUGAGAGGGUGUCCGGCCACACUGGGACUGAGAUACGGCCCAGACUCCUACGGGAGGCAGCAGUGGGGAAUAUUGCACAAUGGGCGCAAGCCUGAUGCAGCGACGCCGCGUGGGGGAGUGACGGCCUCGGUUGUU